RNAcentral lists this transfer RNA (76 nucleotides) under Siphoviridae sp. ctZHD14. Its description in RNAcentral is "tRNA-Asn". It matches the Rfam family "tRNA". Rfam says of the family: Transfer RNA (tRNA) molecules are approximately 80 nucleotides in length. The record is from RNAcentral. Lineage: Duplodnaviria; Heunggongvirae; Uroviricota; Caudoviricetes.
UCGGGAGUAGCUCAAUUGGUAGGGCACUUGAUUGUUAAUCAAGAUAUUGUAGGUUCGAGUCCUACCUCCCGAGCCA